This 497-nucleotide ribosomal RNA is filed under the name uncultured bacterium. Its description in RNAcentral is "partial 16S ribosomal RNA". It matches the Rfam family "Bacterial small subunit ribosomal RNA", at positions 28 to 507 of the family's 1533-position model. The record is from RNAcentral.
GAUGAACGCUGGCGGCGUGCCUAAUACAUGCAAGUCGAGCGAACGGACGAGAAGCUUGCUUCUCUGAUGUUAGCGGCGGACGGGUGAGUAACACGUGGAUAACCUACCUAUAAGACUGGGAUAACUUCGGGAAACCGGAGCUAAUACCGGAUAAUAUUUUGAACCGCAUGGUUCAAAAGUGAAAGACGGUCUUGCUGUCACUUAUAGAUGGAUCCGCGCUGCAUUAGCUAGUUGGUAAGGUAACGGCUUACCAAGGCAACGAUGCAUAGCCGACGUGAGAGGGUGAUCGGCCACACGGGAACUGAGACACGGUCCAGACUCCUACGGGAGGCAGCAGUAGGGAAUCUUCCGCAAUGGGCGAAAGCCUGACGGAGCAACGCCGCGUGAGUGAUGAAGGUCUUCGGAUCGUAAAACUCUGUUAUUAGGGAAGAACAUCUGUGUAAGUAACUGUGCACAUCUUGACGGUACCUAAUCAGAAAGCCACGGCUAACUACGUG